UUCUUAAGAGAAACUAACGACGAAUGAAUAGCAUUACGUAAUUAAUUCGAGACGUACAUGUUAUUACGGCUGAACCGAAAAAUGCAAAGAAAACUCGUUCAAAUGUGGAUUCGUCACGUAAUCUUUUUUUUUACGUUCAAUUGCAUCCAUCUUCUAAAGGAACCGUUUAUUAAUUAUGGUCAAGGUCGGAGAGGCAAGAUGUUAUUAAUAAAUAUAUAAUAUCAGAGAAAAUAUGAGAAACGAAUGAACCAAUAAAUGUAUUAUGUAUAUAUAUAUUCAUAUAUAUAUAUAUAUAUAUUGUAUAUAGUAUAUAUAUAUGCUCUAUUGUGAAAGAUUAAUGAGAGACAGCUAUAAGGUAUUGUAUAAAUAUAAUAAGAAUAACUCGAACGUUUCAAGAAUAUAUAUAUUAUUAUACAUUCGACAUAAUAUCCAUUAAAGUAAACAAUUCUUUAGCAAGCAAAACUAAUCGUGAUAUCUAGUUACGAUGAGCCACGUAAUGGAAUAAUUUGUAUUUGUGUCGCAGCAGCAAGCGUACGAUCGAAAUUUAAGAAAAUCAUACGAGACGCACGGAAUCGACCUCGAAGCGAGUCGGCGCGGCGUUCGGCGGUGGUUCAGAAGCGUAGGCUCAAAGCAUCGGCCUCGCGCGCGAGCGUGCCGCUUCCACGUGACGUACACGACGGCAGUGGCGGUGGCGGUGGCGGUGGCGGCAGCAGGCGCACCGACGCGACGCUAAGCGCUACCUUCACCUCCCUCUCGCGCCAGAGUUCACAAUCAAGUAUGAACAAUUUGGAGGAAGGCGCAACGAACGUAUACAAGAAAAAGAGAAAGAAAGGGAAAAAAGAGACAAGAUGGAAAGAGGGGGGGUGGAGAGAGAGAGAGAGAGAGGAAAACUCCGAAGUAUAUUUUCGCGCCUGAAUGAAAUAAGGGGAGGAUUUACGUUAUUUUCCAAAGCUUCAGUAGACGAAAGACGAAAGUAGUGUAUUGCGAUCAAUUAACUGUUCUAAAAAUAACAUUCAACUCCGAUAGAGAUAAGGAAAGAGAUUUUUAAGACUAAAAAAAAAAAAAUUAUCACACCGAUGUUUUCUCGAAAGUUCAUAUAACGAUGUCGCCGUCUUCUUCUUCAGCGUUGUUCGUCGACGUCGUCUAGUUGCUGGCACGGUUACUUCGCGAAAGAGAGACAGGGAGACAAGAGAAACACACGGGGGUAUUAUAAUGCACGGCUUUGCCGCUAGUCGCGCGCGCGUGGGGUUUUCAUUGGCGAGGGAAAAAGGACGCGGCGAAUGUUAGAUAUUACGAAGAGAUGUGUACAAGCAAGCUAGAGCGCGACGCGGUGCGUAGUCUAUUCUCUCUAUCUCUCUCAUUCGUUCGCUCUUUGCGUGACUUGAGAGUAUGUGUGUGUGUAGGUUUGAGAGAGAAAAGAAAGAAUGAAAGAGAAACGAAGAGAGGUACAGAGAAAUCCCUUGGCGCGAUAUUUAUACAAUUAAAACUGUUAACAAUUUCAAAGGAACGUGUCGGUCAAAGGGAUAUAUAAGCGUUGCCCUAUCGAUCGGUCCUAUUCGCCGGACACGAUUAACCCGCUUACGACGAAUUAUCGAUCAAUUACGACAGCGAGAGGGAGGGAGAAAGAACGUGAGAAUGACGAGCAGUAGGCGGAGGGAGAAUGAUAGAAAGAGAGAACAGCCAAGCUACGUUAAGGUAGGAGGGGAGUGGCACGGAAGAAGAAAAAAGACAAAUGGAUAGAGAACGAAAGCGAGAAAGACAGAGAAACGAACGCGGGCUUGGUUUCGGGCGCCAUAAUGGGAGACUUCGAGAAGGUGGCGUCGUCGUCGUCGUCAUCGUCGUCGUCAGAUGGGAAGAAAAAAAAAUGUGUACACUUUUAUAUUAUAUCUUAAGCAAUGGGAAUAUUAGAGGAAAUUGCGUAGUCAAUAAAGGAAAAGUUACACAUAGAAAGGAAUGAGACAUUCGAGAUAAGGAAAAAACCGCGUUCUAUUUCGAAGCGUCGAUGAUGGGCAACGUAGAUCCGUCAACGAAUGUGGCUAGAUAAAGAGGAAGGAAAGAAGGGGAAGAGGGGGAAGCACAUGGCACUAUAAGUACCGUCGUCGAAACGUAGAAUAACAUGUCUUAAAAAUUAUGAUUAAAAUAGUGGGACGAUGAAAGAAAAAAAGAAUAAAAUAUAAAAAAUAUGUACUUUUAUCGAGUAUUACGAGAAUGGAAGAAGGGAUAGAUAAAUAUAUAUAUACAUACAUACAUACAUACAUAUAUAUAUAUAUAUAGAGAGAGAGAGAGAGAGAGAGAAAACAGAAGUAAUCAGCUCGGUGGCGUACUCGUGGCGGCCACGCGACAUUACAAUGGCGUCCCUUAUCUCGAUUCAUGUUUUUAGCAUUAAUUUUCUAAAAGGGAAAACAUGGAGGCAAGUUUUUCUGUUAAUUAGAAUUGUCGACGAUGAUGAAAAGUUCAAUCGCGUAUUAUGAAAUCGUAAUGAAAAAAUGAACUUUAUCAUAGAAAGUAGAUAGGGAUAAAAAUGCCGGCCGGCAUUGUGCAUCUUCAGUUGCGCGCCACUACCGCCACCGUCGUAGCGGCUACCGCCACCACCGCUUAUAUCGCCGCCGCCGCCAGAGGCUACCGAUAUUGUCGACAUAUAGUCAUCGUCAUCAUUCACCAUCAUCGUGUCUGUCUUCUCGUCAUUUCGUUUCGCGUACACAUGCUUUUUAACUGGUGCGCGGGCGCGCUCGCUCGCGCACACAGUCAUAAUAUAUACAUACACGCAACAUACGUAUGUACAUAUAUGUAAUAAUA
Long non-coding RNA from Vespa crabro (European hornet), 2796 nucleotides. RefSeq lists it as uncharacterized. The transcript has 2 exons. NCBI's taxonomy places the organism in Eukaryota, Metazoa, Arthropoda, Insecta, Hymenoptera, Vespidae. The record is from RefSeq and is a predicted model, not a curated record.